AGGGGGCAAGCGUUGUCCGGAAUUAUUGGGCGUAAAGGGCACGCAGGCGGUCUCUUAAGUCUGAUGUGAAAUCUCGUGGCUUAACCACGAGCGGUCAUUGGAAACUGAGAGACUUGAGUACAGAAGAGGAGAGUGGAAUUCCACGUGUAGCGGUGAAAUGCGUAGAGAUGUGGAGGAACACCAGUGGCGAAGGCGGCUCUCUGGUCUGUAACUGACGCUGAGGUGCGAAAGCGUGGGGAGCGA
Molecule: ribosomal RNA, 243 nt
Filed under: uncultured bacterium
Lineage: Bacteria
Description: partial 16S ribosomal RNA
Rfam family: Bacterial small subunit ribosomal RNA
Source: RNAcentral